RNAcentral lists this ribosomal RNA (440 nucleotides) under uncultured bacterium. RNAcentral describes it as "partial 16S ribosomal RNA". It matches the Rfam family "Bacterial small subunit ribosomal RNA", at positions 338 to 795 of the family's 1533-position model. The record is from RNAcentral.
CCUACGGGGUGCAGCAGUAGGGAAUAUUGCUCAAUGGGGGAAACCCUGAAGCAGCAACGCCGCGUGGAGGAUGAAGGUUUUCGGAUUGUAAACUCCUUUUGUUAGAGAAGAUAAUGACGGUAUCUAACGAAUAAGCACCGGCUAACUCCGUGCCAGCAGCCGCGGUAAUACGGAGGGUGCAAGCGUUACUCGGAAGCACUGGGCGUAAAGAGAGCGUAGGCGGGAUAGCAAGUCAGAUGGGAAAUCCUAUGGCUUAACCAUAGAACUGCAUUUGAAACUGUUAUUCUAGAGUAUGGGAGAGGUAGGUGGAAUUCUUGGUGUAGGGGGAAAAACCGUAGAGAUUCAGAGGAAUACUCAUUGCGAAGGCGACCUGAUAGAACAUAACUGACGCUGAUGCGCGAAAGCGUGGGGAGCAAACAGGAUUAGAUACCCGAGUAGUC